UACUGGAGCUGUUGUAGGUAAUGGUGAUGAUUUCAGGGAUUGAUAUGGUUAUAGCAGCGAUGGUGAUUGGUUUCAUGGAGAUGAUGAUGAUUGCGGGGAUUUAUGAGGAUGAUAUUGGGGAUUCACAAAAUGCUGACUGUACUGUACUGGAUCUGUUUAAGCUGAUUGCCUCACAUGGCUGCCCUGGAUUGGAGGACUGUAGCUGUAGAUUGCCGUCGGGUACAGUUGUACCAAGUUUAGGUGGACUCUGGGAGGAGAUGACCUUGCAUUGCUGUAUUGGAGCUGUUGUAACUGAAUACCUCGAAAGGCAGUACUGUAUUGGAGGGAGGUGACUGCAGUUAUAAGGUUUAGGAAUGGGGGAAGUUGUUUCUGCAAGUCUGCUCCUGUACAAUCAAAGGCGACCUGGAGAGCUCCAGGCUAUUGGAUUGACACACUACAAAGAGUGACAAGAGGGGGAAGAUGUCCAGCGUUUGAUUGGAGAUUGUACAACAUUUGAAAGGAAACUGUUAGAGAACCAGGUGGUUAUCACAGUGUGAGGAAAGACCAGAAGAGGAGUACCUAUUAUAAUUCCAGCAGAUGCAAGGAAACCGACUGACUACCUCAUAAAUGAAGGGGUUAGAAGAGAUGCAGGGAUCCUGGAAAAGAAUACUUUGUGUUUGCCUGAAAAGGUCUUUGAUCCAAAACCAAAUGAAAUGGAAUGGGUUAUCAAUCAUAUGGGCCACUCACUUGACAAUCAUUAGAUACAUUACAGUGCACAGAUGAUGUCUUAGAAAAAACACAAAUAGCCAAGAUACUACUGCUACAAGACCGUGUGGGAGAGUUUCGGACAAAUCCUUACAAGACAUCCAAAUAGAAGACCUUAUCCAGGAGUCAUCAUUCGCUGAACUGGAUGAAUUUGAGGAUUUACACAAUAUGACAUCACCUGACAUUGUAGAUGCCAUUGAGCCAUGUGAUUUUUCUGUGUUAGAUUAUCGCUGAAAAAUUUGAUGAUGAAUACAUAUCCUAGCUCAUAAAAAAACGAAAGUCUGCUGCUCUUCAAGAAACAAAAAUACGGCCAACACCACAUCAAUGUGGGAAAGCAAUUGACCUAAGCAGGGUUAAUGAUGGAAAAAUUUGGAAAAGAAAGAAAUUGAAGAUGUACUGGGAAAAAAACUCUUCUGAAUUGUGGAUAAACUGAAUGCAGGUCGGAAACCUAAAACUGUUUCAUGCUAUUUCUGCUGUUCAAAUUUGUAGAAAAGGUGAUUGUGGGUCAGAAACCGACAAUAAAUAGAUGUUCUUUUCAUCAUUGGGGAGCAGUUUGUAGACAAUGGAUUGAUCCAAGUUCUAAUGUGAAAUAAUUUAUUACCAACUUUUUAUUAACAUUGUCAAACAUGAUUCUUUAUGUUGUUAAUACUUGUUUUGACCACUUGUUUUAUAUCAUAAUUUUUAACAUCUUGUGCAUCCGUUGUCAUCCCUUCAUGCAACAGGAAUGAACUGGGAUCAAGGUGUGUAUAUAUAUCAUAGUACAGUUUUGUAUAGAAAUUCUGGAUUAGUAUUUUGUAUAUAUUUAUAAUGUACAGCACCAGUUUGUGGAGAAGUUUUAUACACACAAAAAAAAAAAACAACAUUCAAGGGAGUUGAUUUUAUUUUUCAAGUUGUUGAUACCAAAAAUAUUUUUAAACAGCAAGAAAGAGCAAAUGCAGAUGGUAUCUUGUAUGAAUUUAGUCUCUUGAUGAAAAAUCACUUACCAGCAUUGAAACAGUGAUUAGUUUUUAAUCAAAAGGAAGAAAAAUGUGCCAAUACUAAUUGUAGAUAACGAAUACAAUAUUUCCAUUGACUUGACCAAGGAUGGAUGAAUUUCUAAGUUUGCAGUAUAUCAAUAUGCCCAGUAUGUAAAAUUCCUGUCAAGAAUGUUUGAUAAAAUGAAUGACCUCGACCCAUUUUCAAGGUCACAGGUAUAAAUGUUUAAUAAUCUUUAAAUGAUUUCUUCUCAAUAUCCCAAAAGUUCUGAUAACCGGCCCAUAGUAUGCUGGAAUGAAUUACCAAGUAUGUUCAUGUUAUCUAUAUUUUCACUUUUUAAAGGUCAAAAGGGUCAAAUUUGUUAAAACCUUUAAUGACUUCUUGUCAAUAACAAAAAGGUCAAGGCUGUUGAAAUUGGUUUUUCAAUGUUUGUGGAUGAAGACAAUCGUUUUCAAGUAAUUGACCUUGACCUAUGUUAAAGAUCUCUUGGGUUAAGUGAGUUGAGAUUUAAUUUUUUUUUUCAAUAAGCAAUAGGUUCGGAAUAAUGGCAUUUGUGUAGUAGCAUGUAUAAAGAAUAUGAUUUUAAGUUUGCAGAAAAUGUUUUUAUGACCAAACAGUAUCUUUGUAUGCUGUAGAGUAGUUGAGCAGUUUAUCUUAGGCUUAUUUGUCCUCUUUCAUACAUACCGGGUAGAUCUUUAUAUUCAGAUGACUUAAGGCCCCUGGGGGUCCUGUUUAUGAAACAUUGGCUGGGUAAUUAUUACUUUAAUUAAACAGCAUUUCAUACUAGAUAGUAAAGAGUUGUAAAGAAUUUCUUGCAUUUUGCCCAUCUGUUGUAAAACAAUACACAUUUUUUACUUCUUUUGAAAACCCCUGAGCCAAUUUUAAUGAAAUUUGGUAGAUAUUUUCAUGGCCAAUGGAAUGAAGUACAAUGUCUCUGACCUAGGAGACUGGGACGGUGUCGAAAUGAAUCAAAUUUUCGAAAAUCUCAACACACAGAUGUGGAAGAAUCAAAUACUUUUCAUAGAUGGAAGAGUUUUUGAGAUGCUUUAACCCAAAUUAUAAAUUUCAUGAUCCUUGCAUUUUCGCUUGGGGAGGGGUAUUAAGUCAGAAGCUUAUAUAGAAUUUUUUUUCUCUCUAAUUCAAAAUCUAUUAGAAUCCAUAAUAUAGGAUGACAGUUAACUAUGUUAACAAGAUGAUUUAUGUGAUGUAUAUAACACAAACAAUGUUUAUGGAAUUCAGGUGACUGUUAAGACCAUUGGGCAAAAUCUUUUGUCAAGACACUAUCAUGCAGUGUUGAAAUUUUGGUUGAAGAAUUAGAAGAUUUGAUAUGAGUAUGGUUGCUACCAAAUAGUUCUACCUUUUUUAAAAUUCUUUUAUGGUGUCCAGAUCUGGAAAAGUAAGUUUUCAAUUUUCGUCAUUUUUAGAUCAUCUGCAAGGUUUUGUAGUUAGAUGACCUUAUGGCCCAUGGGUCUCUUGUUUAUAAUGAAAAUUUGAAUUUACAAUUAUGUAAGAAUACCUUUGUUUAUGUGUAUUCAUGAGUGUAAUUUCAUCUUCAUGUUCACACUCUGAACCUGUUUUGUAUUAUUGAAACAACCAAAGUGUUAUUUUCUUUGUAUCAUGAUUA
Long non-coding RNA from Ylistrum balloti, 3343 nucleotides. RefSeq lists it as uncharacterized. The record is from RefSeq and is a predicted model, not a curated record. Lineage: Eukaryota; Metazoa; Mollusca; Bivalvia; Pectinida; Pectinidae. The transcript has 8 exons.